ACAGCAGUCGCCACGGGAAUACGUAGGGCGCAAGCGUUGUCCGGAAUUAUUGGGCGUAAAGAGCUCGUAGGCGGUCUGUCGCGUCUGGUGUGAAAUCCCGAGGCUCAACCUCGGGCUUGCAUCGGGUACGGGCAGACUAGAGUGCGGUAGGGGAGACUGGAAUUCCUGGUGUAGCGGUGGAAUGCGCAGAUAUCAGGAGGAACACCGAUGGCGAAGGCAGGUCUCUGGGCCGCAACUGACGCUGAGGAGCGAAAGCAUGGGGAGCGAACAGGAUUAGAUACCCGCGUAGUCCCUGUCUCUUAUAC
Molecule: ribosomal RNA, 305 nt
Filed under: uncultured bacterium
Lineage: Bacteria
Description: partial 16S ribosomal RNA
Rfam family: Bacterial small subunit ribosomal RNA
Source: RNAcentral